ACUCUGGCGCUCAGAAGCAGUGAUGUAUCAGAGAACUUUCUACAGUGCAAUUUCAAAUGGGAAACUCUCAUUUCAGGUCCUGAGCAACAUUCAUACUGUCCGAGCCACGUGGCAACCUAAAAAGCCCAAAACAUGGGCAUUUUCUCCCCAGGUCACUGGCAUCUUGCCCUGCUUGCUCAGUGGGGACUGUUUCAUCAGGUCCAAUUCUUCAUCUCCCGACCUCGGAAUCCUGUUUGAACUUGGAAUUUCCUAUAUCCGCAAUUCUACCGGUGACCGAGGAGAGUUAAGCUGUGGCUGGGCGUUUCUGAAGCUGUUCGAUGCCAGCGGCGCUCCUAUUCCGGCCAGAACUUACGAGCUCUUCCUGAACGGCGGGACCCCCUAUGAGAAAGGCGUGGAAGUGGACCCUUCCGUGUCCAGGAGAGCACACAGCAGUGUUUUCCAUCAGAUGCUGACCAUGCGAAGGCAGCCUCAACUUCUGGUGAAACUGAGGUCUCUGAACCAAAGAUCGAGAAACAUCCUGAGCUUCCUGCUGGAAACCUUGGUUGGAAGUAUGUGCUGCUCCCACCUGCUGGUAUUUUAUCGGCAGAUUCUUGGAGAUGCGCUGCUGAAAGACAGGACGAACUCACAGAACGCUGAGCUCAUCAGUCACCCAAUGCUGGCCUCCUUCCCCCAGCUCCUGGAGCAGCCUGAAGUGAUGGACGCGCUAAGGAGUUCAUGGGCUGAGAAAGAAAGCACACUGAAAAGAUCAGAGAAGCUGCCAACAACUAAAUCACAUGGGGACAAGGAAAGAUGAGUUUGGCCUGGGCUGUGUCCCAUACUCACAAGUGCCUGGGUCCGCUCGUGUCACUUAGAAGAACGGUGAUUAUCACAGAAGUCGCAUGGAUCUGUGAGCAGCGGUUCAACUGCGCUAACCCAAGAUCAGCAGGCGACUUCUGUAAAGGGCCGGGUGGUAAAUAUUUCACCCUGCGGGCCACACAUCUGGCGACAAGCACUGUCCUCUGCCGCCAGGAUACAAGUGCCUGAGGCUGGCCUCGGACCUCUGAGGCCCUGUGUACACACAGACACAUUUCCCCGUGGUCCUGUUUGCCAUUUCCUGAUCUAAAGUGCUGGUUAUCUGAAGUGUUGAUCUAAGUAAGGGUUGUGGGAGAACAAGCAAACCGAAAACUCUGACUGCUGGGGGUGCUAUAUCCCAUAGACUUAUUUACACAGCAUAUAAAUGUACCACAGACUUAUUUAUACAGCUUACUUGGGCUUCCCUUUGCUAUAUGACCUUUCCCACAGCUGGCACACGACCUUUGCUAAAAGGCAGGCUGCAGUACCUCAGUGUUGUCAGGGCAGUGUUUGGGUGGAGAGCGCUGCAUACGGAUUGCUCUGCCCUCAGCCAUUGUGCCCCUUGUGCCCCGGCCAUGGCCUGAUGGCCUCGGGGCUGGGUGGAUCCUCUUGAUACAGGGAGGCUCUGGUGCCCUCUGGACCACAGGACCCCCGCUUCCCAGCCCAGGCACUGCUAGAAUUCUACCAAAUCCUAACCGCCUGGAUCUCCUUUCUCUGGACCCCAUGUGUACAUCUGUCCCCCACUUACAGAAGCCAGACAGUUGUCUCUGCUAUGCUGUUACUGGGCUAAGUAGACACAGCUGACCUUGCUCUGCGUCUUAGCAGAACCACACAUUUGUCACCAGCGUUAGAUGGCAAUGCCGUGGUCUCCUGAGAGUGUGUGACACUCAAGGAGACACUCGGAGACUGUCUCAGGGAACCCCCCGGCUGUGCUCUGGGGUGGCUUUUUAGCUGUCAGGCACAAAGGGCACCUCUCCCAUGGCGCCUUGCAGGUGGCUUUUAACUAACAAGGGUCAGAAUCUCCUGCUUAAGCGUAAUGAUGUGUUCCACCCACGGUUACUCUUGCUGGCUGCCGCUGUUUCCCCAGAGGGACAGAGAGCUCCUGAAGGCCAGCUUCCUCCUGGUCUACCACGACCGUGUGCUCCCGCUGCUGCACUCCACGCUGCUGCCCCCGUUCCGGUGGGCCGAAGAAGAGACCGAGGCUGCGCGGUGGAAAAUCAUCGCUGACUUCCUCAAGCAAACCCAGGAGAACCAGGGUGCCCUGCAGGCCCUGCUGUCCAAGGACGGAGUCCAUGAGCCUUUCGACCUCUCGGAGCAGGCCUACGACUUCCUGGGUGCGGGCAGGAGGAGUCCCAGCUGAGGGUGAUCCAUGGGGAGGCCUCUCACCAAGUGGCAGAAUCCAGAGUGACCCAUUCUGACUGGGACCUGCUCUUUUUCUGUACAGAUGAUAUUUUUAAAGAUAUAUUUAAUAAUAUGAAUGCUUUUAAAAAAUAAAAUCAAUUUUAUAAGGAAUACUGUUAUAC
This 2354-nucleotide long non-coding RNA is filed under the name Cavia porcellus (domestic guinea pig). Its description in RNAcentral is "lncRNA (ENSCPOG00000040550.1)". The record is from RNAcentral. Lineage: Eukaryota; Metazoa; Chordata; Mammalia; Rodentia; Caviidae.